UUGUAAAACCCUAGAUUUGUAUCUCCUUCCUGUACCCCUCUUCUCUUCUCACGUACGCUUCUUUAACAAAACCCUAGAUUUCUAUUUGUUCAUCCUUCUUCUCCUUCAAGCUCUGGAAUCCAUCAACCUCAAAUCGAUUCAACCAUCAGGUAUGUUUUGGUUCCGAUAAUCGACGCCGCCACAUUAGAUAUUCUGCUUUUGUGCUCUACGAUUAUCUUCAAGAUUCUUGAGAAGGUUUAGAGUCUAAAACUUUAAGAUUACCAAAAGUACCAGAUGCCAACAGGUUAACAUAAAUUUCCCAUACAUUAAAAAAUUAUGCAAUUUAUCCCUGUUAUCCUAGGAUGGAAUAUUUUAUUUCCUCAUAUACUAUUUAGGCUUUGGAUUCCUCAGGUUUUUGAACAGGAGAAAUCAUAAACGAAUAACAAUCCAUGGUAGCUUUCUGUUGACUAGCAUUCAGAUCAUAUGGAUCAGAUGUAAACGGGUCAGUGGUAAUCGGUAAUUGGGUUUUUUAUCAUUCGGAUAGGAAGGUACUAUGAGGAUCCUGAUUAAUGACAUGUGCCUUAAUUAGCUAACUAGAUAUCCAAGAAGCUAAUUUUAUGCAGCCCAAGGGUUGGUUGGUGUUUAUGUAUAUGUAAAUCUUAUAAUUGAAUAAUGUGCAAUGAAAAAUCAAAUUUCUUUGUGAAUUAUGAGGAGUCUGGAUAUGAUAUCCGUUCCAUUUCGUGUGUUCCUUUAUAUACAAAAAUAGACGCAUAUAUGAUAUAGAUUACAUAGUUUUUGGACACAUGAGAAUACACAGAAAUCUGAAUGCACUUACCACUGCCCUAACACCAAGAAUUGAUUGGUAAGUUUGUGUCUUGAUUUUGAGUUAUGUUUUGGUGAUAGGGUGACUUUUAAUUGUCUUCUUAGCGAUCUUUGUAAUCGGGAAAAAAAAUAUUGCAGACGAAUAAGCUAAGGAUGUUGGCUUCUGGAAAAGGGGUAUGGCUUAAUGAGGAAUUUAUUCUGAGCUCAGCAAAUGGAGAAUUACGUUCCCUCAUAUCCAAGCUGUGUUGGUCGAUGCAGGUUUUUACUUUCGGGUCAGUGCCCCUUAAAAGAGAAGUUUACUCUUGAUGCAAAGGAUUUCAAGCUAUAUGAGGAAAUUGUUGAAUGAGUUAGUGCCUCAUGUAUUGAGCUCUUUGUGUUCCUUUGAACCAGACGGUUGCCAGCAGGGUUCUUGAUUUGGAAAAAAGUUGUAACAAUGACCUGGUCAUUGAAAACCAAAAACCUGGUUCUUAGUGAAGAAAUGAUUUCUACUUGUGUGUUGAAGUAAGUGUGUGCUGCAACAAGUUACAGACAACUGAAUUUGGUUGUGAAGGAACAUAUAGGAACAACAUCGGCUUUUGUUCAGGUUAUAAAACAAUGAUAAACCUUUUUUGUAUUACAAUUAGAUAGAUUCCAUGGUUGUGCAAUCAUUUAAAGAAAAAUAAUAAUCCGAAGAAAUUGGAUUGUAUGUAUUUUUUUUGUUUCAUUUUAUUUUAUUUUUGUGUUUGAAAUUGUGACGUUGGAAUCUUGGCAAGUGCUACAAAAUGUGAAUUGCAAAAGGAGUACCAACUUCUGAAAUAAACAGAGUUGUUUAACCCAUUUACUCAACAAUGGUAAACGGGUAUAUGUCGGCGGAAGUGGCGAAUGCGAUUGAGAAGAAUAAGAAGAAGCUUGUGGAAGAAGCAGGUGGCGGAUUGAAGGACGGGAGGAUGCUGCUGUUGUUUCAACCGCGUAAAUUUUUUACAUGUUUUCGGAUAUGUGUUACUAACUGACUGCCCGCUUCUUUUUUUGAAAGGAAGUUUUAUAUA
Long non-coding RNA from Helianthus annuus (common sunflower), 1826 nucleotides. RefSeq lists it as uncharacterized. Lineage: Eukaryota; Viridiplantae; Streptophyta; Magnoliopsida; Asterales; Asteraceae. The transcript is spliced from 6 exons. The record is from RefSeq and is a predicted model, not a curated record.